CAGGCUUAACACAUGCAAGUCGAGGGGCAGCAUGGUCUUAGCUUGCUAAGGCCGAUGGCGACCGGCGCACGGGUGAGUAACGCGUAUCCAACCUGCCUUACACUCUUGGACAGCCUUCUGAAAGGGAGAUUAAUACAAGAUGUUAUCAUGAGUAAGCAUUUUCGCAUGAUUAAAGGUUUACCGGUGUAAGAUGGGGAUGCGUUCCAUUAGAUAGUAGGCGGGGUAACGGCCCACCUAGUCUUCGAUGGAUAGGGGUUCUGAGAGGAAGGUCCCCCACAUUGGAACUGAGACACGGUCCAAACUCCUACGGGAGGCAGCAGUGAGGAAUAUUGGUCAAUGGACGAGAGUCUGAACCAGCCAAGUAGCGUGAAGGAUGAAGGUUCUAUGGAUUGUAAACUUCUUUUAUACGGGAAUAAACGAAUCCACGUGUGGAUUUUUGCAUGUACCGUAUGAAUAAGGAUCGGCUAACUCCGUGCCAGCAGCCGCGGUAAUACGGAGGAUCCGAGCGUUAUCCGGAUUUAUUGGGUUUAAAGGGAGCGUAGAUGGGUUGUUAAGUCAGUUGUGAAAGUUUGCGGCUCAACCGUAAAAUUGCAAUUGAUACUGGCAGUCUUGAGUACAGUUGAGGUAGGCGGAAUUCGUGGUGUAGCGGUGAAAUGCUUAGAUAUCACGAAGAACUCCGAUUGCGAAGGCAGCUUACUAACCUGUAACUGACAUUGAUGCUCGAAAGUGUGGGUAUCAAACAGGAUUAGAUACCCUGGUAGUCCACACGGUAAACGAUGAAUACUCGCUGUAGGCGAUAUACAGUCUGCGGCCAAGCGAAAGCAUUAAGUAUUCCACCUGGGGAGUACGCCGGCAACGGUGAAACUCAAAGGAAUUGACGGGGGCCCGCACAAGCGGAGGAACAUGUGGUUUAAUUCGAUGAUACGCGAGGAACCUUACCCGGGCUUAAAUUGCAGCCGAAUAUGGCGGAAACGCUAUAGCUAGCAAUAGCGGUUGUGAAGGUGCUGCAUGGUUGUCGUCAGCUCGUGCCGUGAGGUGUCGGCUUAAGUGCCAUAACGAGCGCAACCCUUGCCGAUAGUUACUAACAGGUCAUGCUGAGGACUCUGUCGGGACUGCCAUCGUAAGAUGUGAGGAAGGUGGGGAUGACGUCAAAUCAGCACGGCCCUUACGUCCGGGGCUACACACGUGUUACAACGGGGGGUACAGAGGGCUGCUACCACGCAAGUGGAUGCCAAUCCCAAAAACCUCUCUCAGUUCGGAUUGAAGUCUGCAACCCGACUUCAUGAAGCUGGAUUCGCUAGUAAUCGCGCAUCAGCCACGGCGCGGUGAAUACGUUCCCGGGCCUUGUACACACCGCCCGUCAAGCCAUGGGAGCCGGGGGUACCUGAAGUGCGUAACCGCAAGGAGCGCCCUAGGGUAAAACUGGUGACUGGGGC
Molecule: ribosomal RNA, 1436 nt
Filed under: uncultured organism
Description: 16S ribosomal RNA
Rfam family: Bacterial small subunit ribosomal RNA
Source: RNAcentral